RNAcentral lists this ribosomal RNA (483 nucleotides) under uncultured bacterium. RNAcentral's name for it is "partial 16S ribosomal RNA". It matches the Rfam family "Bacterial small subunit ribosomal RNA", at positions 28 to 523 of the family's 1533-position model. The record is from RNAcentral.
GAUGAACGCUGGCGGCGUGCUUAACACAUGCAAGUCGAACGGAAAGGCCCAAGCUUGCUUGGGUACUCGAGUGGCGAACGGGUGAGUAACACGUGGGUGAUCUGCCCUGCACUUCGGAAUAAGCCUGGGAAACUGGGUCUAAUACCGGAUAGGUCCACUUCUUGGAUGGUGUGGUGGAAAGUUUUUUCGGUGUGGGAUGAGCUCGCGGCCUAUCAGCUUGUUGGUGGGGUAAUGGCCUACCAAGGCGUCGACGGGUAGCCGGCCUGAGAGGGUGUACGGCCACAUUGGGACUGAGAUACGGCCCAGACUCCUACGGGAGGCAGCAGUGGGGAAUAUUGCACAAUGGGCGCAAGCCUGAUGCAGCGACGCCGCGUGGGGGAUGACGGCCUUCGGGUUGUAAACUCCUUUCGCUAGGGACGAAGCGUUUUGUGACGGUACCUGGAGAAGAAGCACCGGCUAACUACGUGCCAGCCGCCGCGGUAA